Long non-coding RNA from Xenopus laevis (African clawed frog), 137 nucleotides. RefSeq lists it as uncharacterized. The record is from RefSeq and is a predicted model, not a curated record. The transcript is spliced from 3 exons. Lineage: Eukaryota; Metazoa; Chordata; Amphibia; Anura; Pipidae.
AUCUGUGGAACUACUGGCACAAAUAUACCAAUACAACAAUGCCAGGGCACAAGCACUGUCCAACAAACAAAUCCUUGCCAAACAACUAACCCCUGUCAGCAGCAAGGUCAAGGCAUGAGCACCAUGGACACCAUGGC